CAACAAAUUCUCAACUUUACUCUAUUUAAAAGAAAAAACUACUUUUAUCUCUGUUUUAAUUAUUGUUUAAUUCCUUUGUAACCCUUUUUAACUUUGGUAAGGAAAGUAUUAUACAUAUGAAGCUUCUUAUAUUUAAAUUAUAAAUUAUAUUUUUAUGGUAAUAAUGCAGAGUUUUCAGUUGAAUUUAGAGCAUGUAAUUGAUUUUAAAGAAAUAUUUUUAUGUGUUAAAGUGAAUAAGUUCUGAAAAUAACUAAUAUCAGUUUUUCUGUUUUCCAUUACAGCCCCUGAACCACGGAGCCAUAUCAUUAUCCCCAGUGUCGCUGUCAUUGUCACUGUCAUUUUGGUUUUGGUGAUAAUUUACAUAGGAGCAGCUUUUGUUUGACAUCGAAAAAACGGAAAACAUGAAACGAAGGACAAGGAAAAUACACUGUACGAAACUGUUCAGGUCAAAAGCGUGAACCCACUUGUGGAUCAGAAUCCAACCAAUGAUGCUGCAGCUCCUUCUCCGUCCUCCAUCUACAGCUUGAUCGAACUUGGGUCCAUUAAAUCCACUGAGGCCGGAGACACGACUCAGCCUGAGAGCCUGUAUGCUCAGGUGGACAAGUCGGCCCUGGCCUGAAGAAAAUCUGAAAUUGUCUUCCACAUUCUGCCUUUUGGACAAUUUCCAGUAUUAUUGUUGCCGUGAGUCAUGUUAUAUUUUCCUGGGAAGUUUUUUUUUUUU
Long non-coding RNA from Hippoglossus stenolepis (Pacific halibut), 721 nucleotides. RefSeq lists it as uncharacterized. NCBI's taxonomy places the organism in Eukaryota, Metazoa, Chordata, Actinopteri, Pleuronectiformes, Pleuronectidae. The transcript is spliced from 3 exons. The record is from RefSeq and is a predicted model, not a curated record.